This is an unclassified non-coding RNA of Chelonoidis abingdonii (Abingdon island giant tortoise), 168 nucleotides long. Lineage: Eukaryota; Metazoa; Chordata; Testudines; Testudinidae. The record is from Ensembl.
UUAACAGCCCUGGAGAAUGCAAACCUCUGUGCAAUGAACAGGUGCAGUACAGGGCAGGAGCAGCAGAUCAAGCUUCCUUUACAUUGACCCUGUCCUCUUCUGAGGUGACCACUGCCAGAGCUGAGUGGGGAGUUCAGCCUCCAAGGGCCCAUUCAAUCCUUGGCCUCU